Molecule: ribosomal RNA, 253 nt
Filed under: uncultured bacterium
Lineage: Bacteria
Description: partial 16S ribosomal RNA
Rfam family: Bacterial small subunit ribosomal RNA
Source: RNAcentral
UACGUAGGGUGCAAGCGUUGUCCGGAAUUAUUGGGCGUAAAGAGCUCGUAGGCGGUUUGUCGCGUCGAAUGUGAAAACCCGGGGCUCAACCCCGGGCCUGCAUUCGAUACGGGCAGACUAGAGUUCGGUAGGGGAGUCUGGAAUUCCUGGUGUAGCGGUGAAAUGCGCAGAUAUCAGGAGGAACACCAGAGGCGAAGGCGGCCUACUGGGCCAGUACUGACGCUGAGCCGCGAAAGCCAGGGGAGCGAACGGG